Long non-coding RNA from Bombus pascuorum, 525 nucleotides. RefSeq lists it as uncharacterized. The record is from RefSeq and is a predicted model, not a curated record. The transcript has 3 exons. NCBI's taxonomy places the organism in Eukaryota, Metazoa, Arthropoda, Insecta, Hymenoptera, Apidae.
AUUUAAUUAAUCGUAGUCGUGGUGUGAAUGCAGUUUCAGCGGAAUUUAAAUCGCGGUGCGAUCAACUUCUGAGUCCGAUGUCUCGUGUAAUAAAGAAAUACUUCGUUACUCGAGUAUAACAUAAUUGGACAGUGGAAAACAAAAUGGAAGAGCUCUUGCUUACGGUAUUUAUAUCGCGACGAUAUUCUUCAAAAGUAAAACAUGCUGAAACUCGAAAGUCAUAGUUCUUUACGCAUGUCUGAGAUUCUUCCUCUAGGAAGAAAUUUCUUGGCUGUCUGUACUUUCACACGGCACGUCAACAAACAAUUGGGAAAUGAACAAAACGACAACUUCGCACUAUGAUAUAUGGCAUUUUGGAUGCCGGAAUUACCGAUAUUGCGUAUUUCUCAUUAUCAUUAUCGGAAAAUGGUGAAACGGAGGUUAAAUUCUUCUUUACAAAAAAUUAUAACAUGUACAAAUCGAUGUCGAAUUGUCAAAGACUCCAAAAGAACGCAACAGGACUGGCACCCAACUAUAAUCAGGAAA